RNA transcript from Pan troglodytes (chimpanzee), 3200 nucleotides. It is a transcript of the gene named ankyrin repeat domain 10, with no coding region annotated. Lineage: Eukaryota; Metazoa; Chordata; Mammalia; Primates; Hominidae. The record is from RefSeq and is a predicted model, not a curated record. The transcript is spliced from 7 exons.
AGGCCCCGCCCCGCCCCCUCUGUGCGCGCUCCGCUCGGCAGCCUGUGGGACGCGACCGCGGCGCUAGUCUCGUUCCUUUGUGCUGCGGCGGCGGCUUCUCGAGUCCUACCCGACGCGUCCUCUAGGCCAGCGAGCCCCGCGCUCUCCGGUGACGGACCAUGUCGGCGGCGGGAGCGGGCGCGGGCGUAGAGGCGGGCUUCUCCAGCGAGGAGCUGCUCUCGCUCCGUUUCCCGCUGCACCGCGCCUGCCGCGACGGCGACCUGGCCACGCUCUGCUCGCUGCUGCAGCAGACACCCCACGCCCACCUGGCCUCUGAGGACUCCUUCUAUGGCUGGACGCCCGUGCACUGGGCCGCGCAUUUCGGCAAGUUGGAGUGCUUAGUGCAGUUGGUGAGAGCGGGAGCCACACUCAACGUCUCCACCACGCGGUACGCGCAGACGCCAGCCCACAUUGCAGCCUUUGGGGGACAUCCUCAGUGCCUGGUCUGGCUGAUUCAAGCAGGAGCCAACAUUAACAAACCGGAUUGUGAGGGUGAAACUCCCAUUCACAAGGCAGCUCGCUCUGGGAGCCUAGAAUGCAUCAGUGCCCUUGUGGCGAAUGGGGCUCACGUCGAGUUUAUUUCACAGAGCAGUGUACAUUCUUGUCUUCCAGGGGAACUUCAACAUGGAGUUACUUUUGAUCCCUCAGUUUUAAUUCAGUGUCUAAAGCCUGAGAAAUGCCAGUGGCCUGACAGCAGCAGACAUUGCACAAACCCAGGGUUUCCAAGAGUGUGCCCAGUUUCUCUUGAACCUCCAGAAUUGUCAUCUGAACCAUUUCUAUAACAAUGGCAUCUUAAAUGGGGGUCAUCAGAAUGUAUUUCCUAAUCAUAUUAGUGUGGGAACAAAUCGAAAGAGAUGCUUGGAAGACUCAGAAGCCUUUGGAGUAAAGAAAGCUAGAACUGAAGCUCAAAGCUUGGAUUCUGCCGUGCCACUCACGAAUGGCGACACAGAAGACGAUGCUGACAAAAUGCACGUUGAUAGGGAGUUUGCUGUUGUAACAGGUGGGAGUGGACAGUUUCCUGUUAGCUGCAACAACAAUCCAAUGGUUGAAGACACCAAACAGCAGGAGAGUGGUUCUGUUGGACCAAAAGAAAUAGAAAUAUAUACUGUGUCAGCAAUGCAGACCCCCUGUCGUUGCAGGAAUCAGUAUGCAUAUUAUUUCUAACAUAAGUUUUUCUCAGAUGUUUUGCACUUUGUUGUCCAGUGUCUUUUUAAAAAUGUUAUACUAUAAUUUGCAUAUCUUGGGCAAGUUUGUAGAUACAAGAAGUGUUUUGGGUAUAUUCUAUGGACAUGAAAAAUGUAAGUGCAAUCUUUAUUCUGAUUUGAAGCUGUUGCUUAAUGUGCCUUGCUUAUUUUUAAUGAGGUUUGCAUUUUUAAUUUUCUGACAUAUGGCCUUUGGGUGAAUAUACCGAACAUGCUACAGUUAAUAUUUUCAAACCAAUAUACCACAAAGAGGACGACUAGCAGUAAACACUGAGAAACUAGUAAAUGUGGUUCUGACUCAGCCCGGUCACUCCAGCAUGGAAUCUUUUACCCAGGACUUGGUUGCUCUGGUUUCUGUGGUCUUCAUUCUGAGUCUGUUAAAAUGAUAUGAAAAACAGUAGCUCCGUAUCGAAUACAUUGACAAAUGGAUGUGUCAUCAAUGGACAUUUGGACUUCCCCUCCACGACCCCGCUCAGUGGGAUGGAAAGCAGGAAUGGCCAGUGCUUGACAGGAACUAACGGAAUUAGCAGUGGAUUAGCCCCAGGACAGCCGUUUCCAAGUAGCCAGGGUUCUCUCUGCAUUAGUGGGACUGAGGAGCCAGAGAAGACCCUGAGAGCUAACCCUGAGUUGUGCGGUUCUCUGCACCUGAACGGGAGUCCAAGUAGCUGCAUAGCCAGUAGGCCUUCCUGGGUGGAAGACAUUGGGGAUAACCUGUACUAUGGACACUACCACGGGUUUGGGGACACUGCUGAAAGCAUCCCAGAACUGAACAGUGUGGUCGAGCAUUCCAAGUCCGUGAAGGUGCAGGAGCGGUACGACAGUGCCGUGCUGGGCACCAUGCACCUGCACCACGGCUCCUAGAGACGCUGACCUGGCUCUCGGAAACGCAGGAGUCCUUCCUGGUAGCCAGCUCAGAAUACCCAUGUAGCAGCAACUUGAACGAAUGUCACAACUUGUACUUUUUUUUUAUACUUCAACUUUCUGAAAAAGUAAACUUCGACAAGUUCCCAGCAACUGCUUGUUUGUGCAUGAGUAGGGCUUACUAAGUGCAUAGAUGUUUCUACAGUGAGGUGUCCUUUUUAUAAGGUGCACUUUUGGAGUUUUUCUGAUGCCAAUCUCAACAUUGUCUUUUUAAUACUGUCACCAGAUAUUGCCAUUUUUGUUUUUGUUAAAAGAUUAUAUGAUCAAGAUAAAUUGGGGUGGUAAAUGAGGUGCCUGGUAAUUUAUCUCUUUGCACAUGGGCAUCAUUUUAAAAAGCUUGCUUCCACUGUUUUCUGUAGAAUUUGACGGAACACAGCUAUUUCCCUAUGCAAGGUACAGCCUUACAAAGAUUUCUGCAGGGAUUUGUGUGAAGAAGAGAACGUUUGUCUUUUUCAAUGAAGCUUUGCAGAUCACCAUGUGGUUGAAGGUUUUAGUUGUAGACACAGUGGUCCCUCCUUAAUGACGAAGAUCACCGCCUUGGGCUUCAUGGAAAACAGGCCCAGCCUGGGGCUGCGUUCGGAUUUAUUGUUUUUAUUCCACAUUUCCUACUUGGUCUCUGGAAAUUCUACCACAUGUAACAGAUUCCUUUAUAUGUAGUGGAAGUUACUAUUUGUAGGAACUGUCAGGUCAACAUAUUUAACUGACUGUUGACAUGUAUUUUCUUUUUUCCUUGUUUUUUGUUUUUUGGGGUUUUCUGCUUUAAGAUAUAUACCACUAUGUAUAUCCAGUUAACUGAGAGAAUUUUGACUCUCUUAAUAAAACUGCAUUAAGUUUUUGAUUUUGUAGAAAUUAGCUUUUGUCUAGGCAACUAGUGGUUAUACUCUGCAAAUAUUGUAAUGAAUUUUUACUUUUUUGAUUUUUGUAAUAAAAAUUGGUGCAGAUAAAAUGUCAAAUGAACAAACCAGUGUUCUAAGAGUGUUACUAACAUUUUGUUCUAAAACUGUCCUUCACAAAUUGAAUAAAAAACUCUCACACUCA